UACGUAGGGGGCUAGCGUUGUCCGGAAUCAUUGGGCGUAAAGAGCGUGUAGGCGGCUCGGUAAGUCCGCUGUGAAAGUCCAGGGCUCAACCCUGGAAUGCCAGUGGAAACUGUCGAGCUAGAGUCCGGAAGAGGCGAGUGGAAUUCCUGGUGUAGCGGUGAAAUGCGCAGAUAUCAGGAGGAACACCAAUGGCGAAGGCAGCUCGCUGGGACGGUACUGACGCUGAGACACGAAAGCGUGGGGAGCAAACAGG
This 253-nucleotide ribosomal RNA is filed under the name uncultured bacterium. RNAcentral's name for it is "partial 16S ribosomal RNA". It matches the Rfam family "Bacterial small subunit ribosomal RNA", at positions 524 to 776 of the family's 1533-position model. The record is from RNAcentral.